RNAcentral lists this transfer RNA (69 nucleotides) under Scinax ictericus. RNAcentral's name for it is "tRNA-Val". It matches the Rfam family "tRNA". Rfam says of the family: Transfer RNA (tRNA) molecules are approximately 80 nucleotides in length. Their secondary structure includes four short double-helical elements and three loops (D, anti-codon, and T loops). Lineage: Eukaryota; Metazoa; Chordata; Amphibia; Anura; Hylidae. The record is from RNAcentral.
CAAAGCGUAGCUUAAAUAAAGCCCCUCGCUUACACCGAGACUAUCUCUGUUAAACUCAGAUCGCUUUGA